RNAcentral lists this ribosomal RNA (1678 nucleotides) under human gut metagenome. RNAcentral describes it as "bacterial LSU rRNA". It matches the Rfam family "Bacterial large subunit ribosomal RNA", at positions 831 to 2524 of the family's 2925-position model. The record is from RNAcentral.
AAUCGAACCCGGAGAUAGCUGGUUCUCCUCGAAAUAGCUUUAGGGCUAGCCUCAUGGAUCAUUGAUGGGGGUAGAGCACUGAAUGUGCGCGGGGGCCACAAAGCCUACCAAACGCUAUCAAACUUCGAAUACCAUACAAUGCAGACCAUGGGAGUCAGUCCGCGAGAGAUAAGUUCCGCGGGCAAAAGGGGAACACCCCAGAUCAACCGCUAAGGUCCCCAAGUUCACGUUAAGUGGAGAAGGAUGUGGAAUUGCACAGACAACCAGGAUGUUGGCUCAGAAGCAGCCACACAUUUAAAGAGUGCGUAAUAGCUCACUGGUCGAGUGAUUGUGCGCCGAAGAUGUCCGGGGCUAAACGUGACACCGAAGCGAUGGGUGCAUCUGAAAGGAUGCGCGGUAGAGGAGCAAUGUGCAGAGGCAGAAGCCGUAUCGAGAGGCACGGUGGACACUGCACAAGAGAGAAUGCCGGUAUGAGUAGCGAGAGGCAUGCGAGAAACAUGCCCGUCGAAAGCCCAAGGUUUCCUGGGGAAGGUUCAUCCGCCCAGGGUAAGUCGGGGCCUAAGCCGAGGACGGAAGUCGUAGGCGAUGGACAGCAGGUGUAGAUUCCUGCACUACCGAUGGAAUGAAGCAGUGACACAGAAGGAUAACUCGAGCAGGGUGAUGGUCAACCCUGUGCAAGCAUCAAGGUUGGGUUGUAGUGAAGUACGCAACCCUAUAAGCUGAGGUGUGAUGCGGACCGAAAUUUCAGUAGGGAAGCGAGUGAGUUCACGCUGGCGAGAAAAGCUGCUAGUACAUCCAAAGGUACCCGUACCGGAAACCGACGCAGGUGGGCGAGGAGAGAAUCCUGAGACGAACGGGAGAACCCUUGUUAAGGAACUCGGCAAAAUGACCCCGUAACUUCGGGAUAAGGGGUGCCUGCGAGAGCAGGCCGCAGAGAAUAGUCACAAGCGACUGUUUAGCAAAAACACAGGUAUCUGCGAAAGCGAGAGCUGACGUAUAGGUGCUGACACCUGCCCGGUGCUGGAAGGUUAAGGGAACAUGUUAGAGCAAUCGAAGCAUCGAACCGAAGCCCCAGUAAACGGCGGCCGUAACUAUAACGGUCCUAAGGUAGCGAAAUUCCUUGUCGGGUAAGUUCCGACCCGCACGAAUGGUGUAACGACUUGUGAGCUGUCUCAACAGGGGGCCCGGUGAAAUUGAAGUAUGGGUGAAGAUGCCCAUUACCCGCGACUGGACGGAAAGACCCCGUAGAGCUUUACUGCAGCCUGAUAUUGAGUUUCGGUAACUGAUGCACAGGAUAGGUGGGAGUCUGAGAGACAUGGGUUUCGGCUCAUGUGGAGACGCUGUUGGGAUACCACUCUUCGGUUACUGAAAUUCUAACAUAGCUCUGUGAAACCAGAGGAUGGACAGUGUCAGGUGGACAGUUUGACUGGGGCGGUCGCCUCCGAAAGAGUAACGGAGGCGCCCAAAGGUACCCUCAGAAUGGAUGGAAACCAUUCGAAGAGAGCAAAGUCAGAAGGGUGCUUGACUGCGAGACCAACAAGUCGAGCAGGUACGAAAGUAGGGCUUAGUGAUCCGGCGGUAAGAGAGUGGAAUUGCCGUCGCUCAACGGAUAAAAGCUACCUCGGGGAUAACAGGCUGAUCUCCCCCAAGAGUCCACAUCGACGGGGAGGUUUGGCAC